RNAcentral lists this long non-coding RNA (2904 nucleotides) under Pongo abelii (Sumatran orangutan). RNAcentral describes it as "lincRNA". The record is from RNAcentral. Lineage: Eukaryota; Metazoa; Chordata; Mammalia; Primates; Hominidae.
AAGUGGUUCCUCCACCAGGGAGACAAGUUUAAUUACUGUGGGUCAGGGAGGAGGACAUCCCAAGAGUGCUUGGCAGAAAACGCCAGCCAGCCACUCAUGGCGCCUUGGGCCAGGGUCAUGCUAUAUUGACCUGGCUGGUCUGGAACUCCUGGCCUCAAGCAAUCAUCCUGCCUCAGCCUCCCAAACUGUUGGGAUUACAGAAUGAAACUCUAGUUCCAUAACUUCCGGGAGGCAAUGACCAGUCUCAGACUUAAGGAUUAAGAAAAUUCUCCGAAUGAUUCCAGAACGGGAUACUAAGAAACACGGACACUGCCAGGGAGGGCUCAGUGGCUCCCAUCUGCAGUCCCAGCACUUUGGGAGGCCAAGGCGGGCGGAUCACGAGGUUAGGAGUUCAAGACCAGCCUGGCCAAUAUGGUGAAACCCUCAUCUCUACUAAAAAUACAAAAAUUAGCCAGGCAUGGUGGUGCAUGCCUGUAAUCCCAGCUACUCGGGAGGCUGAAGCAGAAGAGUUGCUUGAACCCGGGAAGCGGAGGUUGCAGUGAGGCGACAUUGUGCCACUGCACUCCACUCUGGGUGACAGAGCAUGAGUCCAUCUCAAAAACAAACAAACAAACAAACAAACCAAAUGCGGACACUGAGCACUCUUAUUCUGCAUUUGAAGAAAUACAGAUACAAUGGCAAAAAAAUCAUUCGCUCGGAAUUACAGUAAAGAAUCUGCAAGUGUUGGCAAGCAUAACUUUGAUUAUUAUUUGAUUACAUGAAUUAUGAAAUGCAUGUAAGUUGAAGUUUUAGAGAGACAAAUAAAUAUACAGUAUAAUUGGGGGUUCUUAUUAUUAAGGUCCCUUGUCUUUAUGAUCUGAUAGUUUCGCAUCUCCUUCCCCAUGAGUCCAUGGCAUAAAGUGUCGCUCAGUCAUUUCCUGGCUUCUGUGGGUUAGAACCAUUUAUGACGUACGUAUCUCUCCAUAGUAGCUCCCUAUGAUGUUUUGAUAAGAAGCUAUUCUGGGACCUUCAGCUUUUCUUCUGUUACUACCUGUUGAGGUGAGAGCAAAGGAGAUAGAGACAGCAAAGGAGGCAAGAAGUGGUCUAAUCUCUUUUCCAUCUUUGACCCAAGGAUAAGUACUAACCACAGCAGAGCUUAUAUCUGGCUAUAUAUUAAGGAUAUUUUCUUAAAGACCUGAAGAAAACAAAACAGCAUAACAUUAGAGCCCAGAUAAAUUUUGAACAAGAUGAAGAUUUGAUCUUGGAGCCCUUGGGGUUCAGCUAUAACCUAUCUCUUCUGAGAUGAUUUAGUUAUCCUCCCUCCAGGUGGAGGCAGCUUCACGGCAUUCCUCUUGGAUACAUGUGCAUUUGGGGGAAGACCCUUAUUCCAUCACAAAGCACCAGAUAGGAGUAGAAUCCUGGCUCAUCCACUCUAAUGUGGAGUUCCCCAGUGUCCUCUUUUCCAUUCUACGUCUCACGUGCUCUGACAAUGGCACCCUGUUGGCCUGUCCCUUAAGACAAUGGCACCCUGUCAGCCUGUCCCUUAACACCAUAAACUACUAUUGGUACAUUUUCCAAAGUUUAAGUUUACUUAGAAUAUGUAUGAUUGUUUUCUAACCUGGUUCAAUUCCUUUUCAUGAAUUUGUAUUCAUUAUUAGGUCAAGAUAAAUACACAUUCUUCCUGUAGUUUUCCAGGUCUUGUUUUCUGAACUUGGGAGCAAUUGAUAAUCUGUCUAAUGUGAUAUUCAAAAGCAAAAUUUGCAUUUUCAAAAUGACAGAUUUUGUAGCCUUCACCAUAGUUGUAAUGUUUUAACAAUUUGAAGCCAAUUUCAAUGAGUACCCUAAUUUCUCCAAAUAUUUAGCAAGAAGAGUUUUCAUAAGCAAAGAGUCUAGGCCAUGGAAAAUUAACUUUCCUCUUUCUCACACUUGUGAGAACAGUGAGGCUCAGAGAGUCUGAAUUAUUUGCCAAAGGUCCUAAGAGUGGUGGAGCUGGGAUUCAAAACUAUGUCACUCUUACUCUAGAACCAUACUGCCUUCUAAAAUGUGUCACUGAAUGUAACUUCCCUUAGCACAUAAAACUGUGUGCAGCAAAAGUUCUACAAGCUCCGGAGUCAAGUGGAACAAUAGGUUUUCUGUGUCUCCAGAUAAGUUGACUCAACCCGAUCAUAUUCAAUUCAAUUUUCAUUUAUUGAUCUUGCAUCGGUUUCAGGUACUAAGUGCUACACAUAAAAAUGACCAGAGAAAAAAGAGAAUUUUGGAAUGAGAGCAGAAUGGAUUAUUUUCUUCUUUCUUUCUUCUGGUUCAAAUAGUAUAUCUCCUGCAUAUGACAGUUUUCUUGUAACCUGGUGUAGCACUUUGAAAAUCCAGUAAAGCAGAAGUGACGGCGCUGUAACUCAUGAACUCCACUGAGAUUGCUAUGGUGUGACAAACCUGUCUCGGCUGUCUGUAUAUAAAUUAGGAAUUCCUAAAGCUUUCAGUAUGAAAGUUGCUGUGAACUGCUUCAUUUCAAACUGAAAGCAUUGAAAUGCUAAUUAGGAAGAAUUUUUUUUUUCCUUCAAAGUAACUUUAAAUAACUUUUCGGGAAAGCAAACACAAUUAGUCUAUUUUUAUGGGACAGAUUUCUCCCUAUGAGAGGAGAAUGGCCAUUUUUGUGAACUACUGUUGGAUAUGACAUAUAUAUUUUGGAAGUCCCUUUCAAUCGUUGGAUUUGGCAGAUAAAAUGUUUAUACCGCUUGUGUUUUAUUGAAAGCCAUUUUAUGCAAAUUAAUUUAACACAGAAUUUAAUGAUUUUGGAUGCUGUGAGAUGAGGGGAAACAACCUUUAAAAUUAACAUUGCAAUUUUCAUCUUCUGAUUGUCUCAGCCUCCCCCGGAAUAGAAAAUGCUUAUUCUCUUGGAGAGAGAAAUAAAUUUAAUCUUUACACGGG